This 409-nucleotide ribosomal RNA is filed under the name uncultured bacterium. RNAcentral describes it as "bacterial SSU rRNA". It matches the Rfam family "Bacterial small subunit ribosomal RNA", at positions 29 to 483 of the family's 1533-position model. The record is from RNAcentral.
AACGAACGCUGGCGGCAGGCUUAACACAUGCAAGUCGAGCGCCCUGCAAGGGGAGCGGCAGACGGGUGAGUAACGCGUGGGAACGUACCCUUUUCUACGGAAUAACGCAGGGAAACUUGUGCUAAUACCGUAUACGCCCUUUUGGGGAAAGAUUUAUCGGGGAAGGAUCGGCCCGCGUUGGAUUAGCUAGUUGGUGGGGUAAAGGCCUACCAAGGCGACGAUCCAUAGCUGGUCUGAGAGGAUGAUCAGCCACAUUGGGACUGAGACACGGCCCAAAACUCCUACGGGAGGCAGCAGUGGGGAAUAUUGGACAAUGGGCGCAAGCCUGAUCCAGCCAUGCCGCGUGAGUGAUGAAGGCCCUAGGGUUGUAAAGCUCUUUCUACCGGAGAAGAUAAUGACGGUAUCCGGA